CGGCGCAGGCGGCCGACCGGGAGCGCGGACAACGCGGCUGCGGCUAACCCGCCGCCCGGCCGGCUGAGACCCUCGCGCCCCUGCUCCUGGGGCCCCCGCCCCCUCGCCGUCUCCGCCUCCUUCCUCACACACCCCCAGGCCGCCCGGGCCGCCCGGGCCCCAAGCCUUCCCGGUGCUCCUCCCUCUUCUCCUCACACUCGCUCUCUGGCUGGGGUCCGCCUGCCGCCCGCUGGCCUGCUCCCUCCGGGGCAAGUCCUGCUUCUUAAGCGCUCCUUUCACACACGCGCGCGCUCGCUGGGCCGUCCCCUCCUCUCCGGCCCUCCUCCUCCUCCUGGUCCUUGCUAACGCUGCCGUCGGGGAGGAUUGAUGUCCCUUCAGCAUCAUGCAGCCGCCGCCGAGGAAGGUGAAAGUUACACAAGAACUGAAAAACAUUCAAGUUGAGCAGAUGACAAAACUUCAAGCCAAACAUCAAGCAGAAUGUGAUUUGCUUGAAGAUAUGAGGACAUUCAGUCAGAAGAAGGCUGCUAUUGAAAGAGAGUAUGCACAGGAGCAUGUAUCCCGUUUGGAAAUCUUUUCUCGAGGGAACAAUGCAGGUAGCCCAGUCUCGGAUGAAUAUAUGUGAAAACUAUAAAAACUUCAUUUCUGAGCCUGCAAGGACAGUGAGAAGCUUAAAAGAACAGCAACUAAAAAGGGU
This 694-nucleotide long non-coding RNA is filed under the name Pan troglodytes (chimpanzee). RNAcentral describes it as "long non-coding RNA NONPTRT003141". The record is from RNAcentral. Lineage: Eukaryota; Metazoa; Chordata; Mammalia; Primates; Hominidae.